Molecule: long non-coding RNA, 1154 nt
Filed under: Homo sapiens (human)
Lineage: Eukaryota; Metazoa; Chordata; Mammalia; Primates; Hominidae
Description: long non-coding RNA NONHSAT195390.1
Source: RNAcentral
GUGGCUGGCGGCGGGGCCUGGGUGUCCGCCCAGUGCCCGAGGACGCAGGCUUUGGCACCGAAGCCCGGCAUCAGAGGCAACCCCGCGGCUCCUGCCAACGGUCGGGGCCCCUCGGGGACCAGCCCUUCGCGGGGCUGCUGCCAAAAAACCUCAGUCGGGAGGAGCUGGUUGAUGCGCUGCGGGCAGCCGUGGUGGACCGGAAAGGACCUCUAGUGACGUUGAACAAGCCACAGGGUCUACCAGUGACAGGAAAACCAGGAGAGCUGACGUUGUUCUCAGUGCUGCCAGAGCUGAGCCAGUCCCUAGGGCUCAGGGAGCAGGAGCUUCAGGUUGUCCGAGCAUCUGGGAAAAAGCUCUGGGCUUGUACUCCUCUCCAGCUGUCCCCAGACAGCUAGUCGCCUCCAGAAGUACUUCACCCAUGCACGGAGAGCCCAAAGGCCCACAGCCACCUACUGUGCUGUCACUGAUGGGAUCCCAGCUGCUUCUGAGGGGAAGAUCCAGGCUGCCCUGAAACUGGAACACAUUGAUGGGGUCAAUCUCGUGAGUCCGGGCCCCAUCCCGAAAGGACAUCCUGGAAGGUGUCAAGAAGACUCUCAGUCACUUUCGUGUGGUAGCCACAGGCUCUGGCUGUGCCCUGGUCCAGCUGCAGCCACUGACAGUGUUCUCCAGUCAACUACAGGUGCACAUGGUACUACAGCUCUGCCCUGUGCUUGGGGACCACAUGUACUCUGCCCGUGUGGGCACUGUCCUGGGCCAGCGAUUUCUGCUGCCAGCUGAGAACAACAAGCCCCAAAGACAGGUCCUGGAUGAAGCCCUCCUCAGACGCCUCCACCUGACCCCCUCCCAGGCUGCCCAGCUGCCCUUGCACCUCCACCUACAUCGGCUCCUUCUCCCAGGCACCAGGGCCAGGGACACCCCUGUUGAGCUCCUGGCACCACUGCCCCCUUAUUUCUCCAGGACCCUACAGUGCCUGGGGCUCCGCUUACAAUAGUCCUCCCUCUGUUCCUGACCCCCUCACACACACUGGAAAGUGAGGGUGGGGGCUCUGCAGUCAGACAAACCUAAGAUCACAUCCUGGACAGGCCACUUGCUUGCUGUGUGGCAUUGGGCAAGUAACUUUACCUCUCUGGACUUGUGAUAAUAAAAGUUCCUAC